ACUGGAGUUUGAUCCCUGGCUCAGAUUGAACGCUGGCGGAAUGCUUUACACAUGCAAGUCGAACGGUAGAGGGGGCAACCCCUCGAGAGUGGCGAACGGGUGAGUAAUAUAUCGGAACGUGCCCAGUCGUGGGGGAUAACGUAGUGAAAAUUACGCUAAUACCGCAUACGAUCUCAGGAUGAAAGCGGGGGACUCGCAAGAGCCUCGCGCGAUUGGAGCGGCCGAUAUCAGAUUAGGUAGUUGGUGGGGUAAAGGCUCACCAAGCCAACGAUCCGUAGCUGGUUUGAGAGGACGACCAGCCACACUGGGACUGAGACACGGCCCAGACUCCUACGGGAGGCAGCAGUGGGGAAUUUUGGACAAUGGACGCAAGUCUGAUCCAGCCCCAUUCCGCGUGCAGGAUGAAGGCCCCUCGGGUUGUAAACCUGCUUUUGUACGGAACGAAAACGGUCUCUCUUAAUACGGGGGGUCUCGAUGACGGUACCGUAAGAUAACGCACCGGCUAACUACGUGCCAGCAGCCG
Molecule: ribosomal RNA, 523 nt
Filed under: uncultured Limnohabitans sp.
Lineage: Bacteria; Pseudomonadati; Pseudomonadota; Betaproteobacteria; Burkholderiales; Comamonadaceae
Description: bacterial SSU rRNA
Rfam family: Bacterial small subunit ribosomal RNA
Source: RNAcentral